RNAcentral lists this ribosomal RNA (467 nucleotides) under uncultured bacterium. RNAcentral describes it as "partial 16S ribosomal RNA". It matches the Rfam family "Bacterial small subunit ribosomal RNA", at positions 28 to 506 of the family's 1533-position model. The record is from RNAcentral.
GACGAACGCUGGAGGCGUGCUUAACACAUGCAAGUCGAACGGACAGGCCCUGCAUUUGCGCCGUGCUCGAGUGGCGAACGGGUGAGUAACACAUGAGUAUCCUGCCCUUGACUUUGGGAUAACUUCACGAAACUGGGGCGAGUACCGGAUAGGAGCUCCUGCUGCGUGGUGGGGGUUGGAAAAUUGCGGCGGUUGGGGAGGGAGUCGCGGCUUAUCCGCUUGUUGGUGGGGUCGUGGCUUACCAGGGCGUUGAAGGGUAGCCGCCCUGACAGGGUGACCGGCUACAUUGGGAGUGAGAUACGGCCCAGACGCCUACGGGAGGCAGGAGUGGGAAACUGAGCACAAUGGGCGGCAGCCUGGAGGAGCAACUCCGAGUGCGGGAUGUCGGCGUUAGGGUAGGAAACAGGUUUAGCGUGAGACGAAGCGUGAGUGACGGUAAUGGGUAAAGAAGCACGGGCUAACUACGU